AGUGAACGCUGGCGAUAGGCCUAACACAUGCAAGUCGAACGGCAGCACAGUAAGAGCUUGCCCUUACGGGUGGCGAGUGGCGGACGGGUGAGGAAUACAUCGGAAUCUACUUUUUCGUGGGGGAUAACGUAGGGAAACUUACGCUAAUACCGCAUACGACCUACGGGUGAAAGCAGGGGAUCUUCGGACCUUGCGCGAUUGAAUGAGCCGAUGUCGGAUUAGCUAGUUGGCGGGGUAAAGGCCCACCAAGGCGACGAUCCGUAGCUGGUCUGAGAGGAUGAUCAGCCACACUGGAACUGAGACACGGUCCAGACUCCUACGGGAGGCAGCAGUGGGGAAUAUUGGACAAAGGGCGCAAGCCUGAUCCAGCCAUACCGCGUGGGUGAAGAAGGCCUUCGGGUUGUAAAGCCCUUUUGUUGGGAAAGAAAAGCAGCAGGUUAAUACCCCGCUGUUCUGACGGUACCCAAAGAAUAAGCACCGGCUAACUUCGUG
This 492-nucleotide ribosomal RNA is filed under the name uncultured bacterium. Its description in RNAcentral is "partial 16S ribosomal RNA". It matches the Rfam family "Bacterial small subunit ribosomal RNA", at positions 29 to 507 of the family's 1533-position model. The record is from RNAcentral.